UACGUAGGGUGCAAGCGUUAAUCGGAAUUACUGGGCGUAAAGCGUGCGCAGGCGGCUUUGCAAGACAGAUGUGAAAUCCCCGGGCUUAACCUGGGAACUGCAUUUGUGACUGCAUGGCUGGAGUGCGGCAGAGGGGGAUGGAAUUCCGCGUGUAGCAGUGAAAUGCGUAGAUAUCAGGAGGAACACCGGUGGCGAAGGCGGGAUCCUGGGCCAGUACUGACGCUGAGGAGCGAAAGCGUGGGGAGCAAACAGG
This 253-nucleotide ribosomal RNA is filed under the name uncultured bacterium. Its description in RNAcentral is "partial 16S ribosomal RNA". It matches the Rfam family "Bacterial small subunit ribosomal RNA", at positions 524 to 776 of the family's 1533-position model. The record is from RNAcentral.